UAGCACCUGUCCGCAUGCCCGUGUCGCCGACCGCCGGUCGCUGCCAUCCCACCGCACGUCACGCCGGCCAUCACCUCGGUGGACUCCCUGUGCUCCUCGUUGAUCGAGCCCCCACGCCAUCCACGAGCUUCUCCACUCCGGCACGCCACCGGCCGGAGGUUCGGCCGCCAUCAUCACCCCGGCCGCACGCCCGCCCCUCCCGUCGCCUAUAAAAGGGGGUCGAGCCCCUGCCGCCUCCCCACACCACCCGGCACCGCCCUCCCUGCUCGCCCUCUCUUCCAACC
Molecule: long non-coding RNA, 284 nt
Filed under: Setaria viridis
Lineage: Eukaryota; Viridiplantae; Streptophyta; Magnoliopsida; Poales; Poaceae
Description: long non-coding RNA (SVIR_LNC005393)
Source: RNAcentral